This 502-nucleotide ribosomal RNA is filed under the name uncultured bacterium. RNAcentral's name for it is "bacterial SSU rRNA". It matches the Rfam family "Bacterial small subunit ribosomal RNA", at positions 9 to 526 of the family's 1533-position model. The record is from RNAcentral.
GAGUUUGAUCAUGGCUCAGGACGAACGCUGGCGGCGUGCUUAACACAUGCAAGUCGAGCGAUGAAGCUUCCUUCGGGAAGUGGAUUAGCGGCGGACGGGUGAGCAACACGUGGGCAACCUGCCUUAUAGAGGGGAAUAGCCUUCCGAAAGGAAGAUUAAUACCGCAUAACAUUACAUUUUCGCAUGAAGAAGUAAUUAAAGGAGUAAUCCGCCAUAAGAUGGGCCCGCGGCGCAUUAGCUAGUUGGUGAGGUAACGGCUCACCAAGGCGACGAUGCGUAGCCGACCUGAGAGGGUGAUCGGCCACAUUGGGACUGAGACACGGCCCAGACUCCUACGGGAGGCAGCAGUGGGGAAUAUUGCACAAUGGGGGAAACCCUGAUGCAGCAACGCCGCGUGAGUGAUGAAGGUCUUCGGAUCGUAAAGCUCUGUCUUCAGGGACGAUAAUGACGGUACCUGAGGAGGAAGCCACGGCUAACUACGUGCCAGCAGCCGCGGUAAUAC